RNAcentral lists this unclassified non-coding RNA (3798 nucleotides) under Leguminivora glycinivorella. RNAcentral's name for it is "toll-like receptor 3, transcript variant X2". The record is from RNAcentral. Lineage: Eukaryota; Metazoa; Arthropoda; Insecta; Lepidoptera; Tortricidae.
AUUUUCAUAGAAACAGGUCGCACGUGCCGGAAUACGGACAUAAGUGUAAUAUUUGGAUCUAGCUUCAAUAAUAUGAAAAACGAUGUUCUUGAUUAUGUAUAAAUUGGUGAUAGCGGCUUUGCUAGCGGAGUGUUACUCGCAAGACUGGUACCCUGAGAAUGAUGGAUGCACCCCAGUUAUUGAUGACACGACUGAUCGUACCGAGUGCUUACACACUGUAUAUUGUACUAAUCUAGUUAGCUUUAGGAUGACCCGUCACGACGAAUGCAGCAAUUUUGUUCAUAGCGAUCUACAUCGUAGCUAUUUGGAUCCCAUUCACGUAUUGUUUCAAUGCAAUGACAAAGAUGAAGCUGUCCCGAAAACUUCUAAUUAUGAAAGUUAUGUUAUAUACUCAAUAGAUCUAAGUACGAAUAUGUAUACAGCUGUUCCUACUAUACGUUCGUUGCCCAAUUUGGCUAUAUUAAAAAUAACGGGAUCUUUGCUGUCGAAAGCGAAACUUUCAAAUGAAAAUGAUCUGCCAAAUCUUGUAGCUAUAGACUAUUCAGAAAACAUCAUAACUAGUUUUGAAGUGGUUUCUGGUGAACACGAAUUCAAAUCACUGAGGAAACUGAACUUAUCACAUAAUAAAUUAUAUAAUAUCCAAGACGGCACAUUCGAUUUAUUUCCAAAUAUAGAAUCGUUGGAUCUAUCGCACAAUUGUUUUGACGCAAUUGAUAUCAUGUUCUCUGAAGGUAUAAAAAAGCUUUUACAUUUAAAUAUUUCUAAUAACAGAAUCAUUUACUUAGAUUCUUCAUUACAAAGGCUGCGAUAUUUAGUUACAUUAGACCUUAGUUAUAAUCUUAUAGAAACAUUAACAACAAAAGAUUUCGCCAAAUUAGUAAAAUUAGAGGAAAUUAAGCUUGAAUCUAAUAAAAUUCAGACUAUAGAAAAACAUGUGUUUGAUAAUAAGCCGUCAUUAACUACAAUCGAUUUACAACAAAACGCUUUAGAUUAUAUUGAUCCAGACAUUUUUUUCAACGUCACCAUGUUAACGGGUAUUUAUCUUUCCAAUAAUAAGUUAAAAACUUUUCCAAAAAAUGUAUUUAAAGGUAAAACUGUAUUUUACUUCACAAUCGAAGGCAACCAACUAGAGGGGCCCCUAGAAAGAGGGUUGUUUGAAGGACUUGGCAUGGUUAGAGAAUUGGAUUUAAGUGGCCAGCAUCUAACUUCUAUAGAAAAUUACGCCUUUUCUGGGCUUCAACAUUUAGAAACCUUGUUGUUGAACCACAAUGACGUGGACAUAGUAAGAAAUUAUUCAUUUAAAGGUCUACAACAUUUGAAUACUUUAGAUUUAUCUUAUAAUAAAAUUGACAAACUCGACAUUGUUAGUGAGGAUCUGAUUAGUUUGCAAGUAUUAAAAUUACAUCACAAUAAUAUAGCACACAUCUCAAGUAACAAUUUUAUUUCAUUAGGAUCUUUGCAGUUACUAGAUUUAUCUCAUAAUAAUAUAUCGCACUUGGGAUCUAAUUAUUUUCGAUCUUUACAAAGUUUAAGGGAUUUCAAAAUCUCAGACAAUCCAUUUUGUGGGUCGAUAGUGGAGAAAACGUUUGACGGGUUAAGCUCUUUACCAAGUCUUGAUAUUUCCGGGACUGUAAUAACUGCAGUAAAUAAUGGUUCUUUUAUAGGUAUGACACAAUUAAGAGAGUUAAAUAUUUCAAAUAGCAACAUAACUGACCUCCAAUACAAUUCACUGUCCUACAUUGGAAAACUUCUAAUAAUAGAUCUUUCAAAUAACCAACUGUCUGUAUUCGAUGUUAAUACAACUGACUUAAUAAAUCUUGACACGUUGCUGUUGAAUAAUAACGUGUUACAAGUAAUUUCACAAACAGCUUUUACAGGACUGAGUCGAUUAAAAACGAUUGAUUUAUCGCAUAACAAAAUUCAUAUCAUUAACGGAGAAACUUUUUCAAAAGAUAUUCAAAAUUUAGAUCUGUCUUAUAAUCCUGAAUUAGAAUUUGAUGUAUCUUUAGUCAAAAAAUCCGUAAAUUUAGCAAAACUUUUUAUUUCGAGAACAAAAGCAGUUUCAAUAUCACUUACAUUUGAAGAUUUAAAGGGCAUGCUUCUGAACACAUUAGAAAUGACUCAUUUGAACAUUCAGGACAUAAGUAGUUUAAAGUUAUUUAAUCUGCAACGUUUGGAGACGUUAAUAUUGAGUAAUAAUGCUGUUUCUAAGCUCAAUGUCGGUGCUUUGUCUAAUUUGACGUUCUUGGUACAGUUGGACCUAAGUUAUAAUAACUUAAAUUACAUUCAGCCUGGGAGUUUUAAGGACAACACCUAUUUAAAAGUAUUAAAUAUCUCUCACAAUAAAUUACUGGAAAUUAGUCACGGCAUAUUCCAGGGUCUUUUGAACGUGGAAAUUAUAGACUUAUCGUUUAACAAGAUUAAAGAUUUACACCGAUCUAGAUUAUACGAUGUUGAGCACUUAAAAAGUCUUAUAGUUGAUAACAAUGAAAUUGAGUUUAUUUCCGAAGAUGAGUUCUUAGGGACUAAAUUAGCUAAACUCAGCAUAGGCGGUAAUCCAAUACCAUGCAAGAUUUUGUAUGAAAUCAAAAGAAAAAGCAUACAUAUCAGUAUCACUGCCAUGAAUAUUGACAAAACAAAAGACAAUUUAAAAGGGGUUACAUGUAAUAAAGACGGUUAUAAUUUUGAUUCAAAUAUGGCACCAGAAACGUUUGAGCAUAAUAAAUUGCUAUUUGACAUAAGAAAUAUCUUGUUUAACGUAUCAAGACGAAACAUUUUCAAAGAACCUAUUGAAAAUAAAUAUACAGAUUUUUCACAUUUAGAAAAUAUAACAAACCUAGAACAAAAAAUGAAUGAGCACAGUUUAGAAGUGAUACAUUCCAUUAAAAACUUAUCUUCUAUUAGUAAUCUGACCUCGAUUAUUAAUAGUAAUACGAAUAUACUAUUAGGGAAAAUACUGCAGGUAUUGAUGGCAAAAGAACUCGUGACAACAAGCAAACCCACGAUUGUCAUCAAAGAUAAUGCUACAUCAGGUCUCAUUUCCUACAUUAAUAAAAUCAAGCAAGACUUGGAAGACACUUUAGCUGUUGAAAGACAAAAUGCUUUGCUGUUAGAUGAUAAAAUUAAAAAGCUAAAUUCAAAAAUAGAUUUUACAGUAACAACGAAGAUUCCUAUGCAAGAAAAAUUACUUAAAAUCAAAGAUGAAGAGAAGCCAAAAUCGAAUAUUUUUACUGAGGUCUGCGUGGGUUUGAUUUUGGUAAUACUGGUUUGUUUUAUUUUGUACAAAAUAUACAAAUCUGAAUUUUAUUUGUCUAGAGUUCGGUCACGCACUAGUACGAGUAGUAGACGAAAUAUAGCAGAAUCUAUGGAAAGUGCACAAUUAUAAAUCUGUACCGCUUUUAUGUUUUGCAUUUGGGAUAUUACUUUAUUUACGCCAGUAAAAUUAGUUGUAAGUGUAGAUUAUAAAUAAAAAAAAAAAAAAUAUAUACCUACAUUUAAAUAUAUCAAAUAUAUAUUUAUCAAAUAUUUUAAAAAAUAGUACGUAAAUAAGUUAAGAGCAUGUACAUAAACAUAAUUUUAUUAAAAAUACGAGUAAGUAUUGCACAUUUACAUUACAUUCAACAAAUACUUAAAAUUAGCGAUGGUUUACAAUUGCCCGAACUAGGAUACCCUGUGUUUCAGGCGAAAUACAAUAUAUAUUAUAUUUUAUUAAUGUAAGUACUUAAGUCUAGUAUCUUUAUUGUACUAACACUUAUUAAGAAUAACAUACAGUUUACAGUUAAGUGAAGUAGCAAAGCG